GGUAAGGACGGGAAUCCUGGGGCUCCUGGCCCUCCUGGAUCAACAGGGUUGAAGGGUGAAGAGGGCCCAGUCGGACUGAGAGGGGAGCUUGGUCUAAAAGGGGACAAGGGAGACAGAGGGCAGCCAGGUUUACUCGGAGAACCAGGACUCCCUGGAC
Long non-coding RNA from Platichthys flesus (European flounder), 157 nucleotides. RefSeq lists it as uncharacterized. NCBI's taxonomy places the organism in Eukaryota, Metazoa, Chordata, Actinopteri, Pleuronectiformes, Pleuronectidae. The record is from RefSeq and is a predicted model, not a curated record. The transcript is spliced from 3 exons.